AAGUGAAAAGGGGGCGCGGCCUAAGUGAAAAGGGGGCGUGGUCUACAUGGAUGGGGGCUUGGCCUAAACGGAAGGAGGCGUGGUCUAAGUGGAAAGGGGGCGUGGUCUACAUGCGUGGGGCUUGGCCUAAACGGAAGAGGAUGUGGUCUAAACGGAAGGGGGCGUGGCCUAACCGGAAGGGGGCGUGGCCUAAAGACGAGGGGGCGUGGCUUCAAGCCCUCACCCUCUGCCCCAGCUGACAGGAGCUGCCGAAAUCGACGAUUUUGAUGGCGCUGCGUUUGGGGUUGCAGAGGAGGAUGUUCUCGGGUUUGAGGUCGCAGUGGAUGAUGCUGAGUUCCGGGGUGGCCAGGAAAAGGAGGGCGGCGCAAAGCUGCUGCGCGAAUUUCCGGGUGAGGUUGAGGGAAACGCCGCGGAAGUUGGUGUUGCGCAGGAGGUCGUAGAGGUUGUAGGAGAGCAGCUCGAAGGCGAGGCACAGGUGGUUGCGGAACAUGAAGUGGC
RNAcentral lists this long non-coding RNA (498 nucleotides) under Phasianus colchicus (ring-necked pheasant). Its description in RNAcentral is "lncRNA (ENSPCLG00000017358.1)". The record is from RNAcentral. Lineage: Eukaryota; Metazoa; Chordata; Aves; Galliformes; Phasianidae.